Molecule: long non-coding RNA, 787 nt
Organism: Homo sapiens (human)
Lineage: Eukaryota; Metazoa; Chordata; Mammalia; Primates; Hominidae
Source: Ensembl
ACAAGUGGGGAGCGGGAAGUGCCUGCCUGGUCCGAAUGCAGGGAGUCCGAGGUCGCGGUGCCACCUCCCUGUGAGGGUUUCCAGGAUAGUGUUACUGUGCUCUUAUAAGAAGGAGGAAUGUGGAAGAGAUCCUGCAGAGACAGAAAUCAGAUAACUUACAGAUUCUUGAAAAGAACAUUUUCUCAUCUGCAUGCAGAGACAUGAUCUCAUCGCCCAGACAGGAGUGCGGAGGCAUGACUGCAGCUGACCGUAACCUCGAGCUCCUGGGCUCAAGUGAGCCUCCCAUCUCAGUGUUGCAAGUAGCUGGGACUACUGGUGUGUUACCACACUCCGCUAAUUUUUUUAAAGUUAUUUUUUAUAGAGACAGGAUCUUACUAUGUUGCCCAGCUGGUCUCAAACUCCUGGUGUCAAGCAACCCUCCUGCCUUGGCCUCCCAAAGUGCUGGGAUUACAGACGUGAGCCACCAUGCCUGGCUCAUUUCUGUCAUAUGUUUACAAACAUGCCCAUUUUCUGAACCCUCCAAUCUGUAUCACUGGGGUAAGGCAGGAUGGGGAGCUCUCAUAGAACAAAAGCAAAACCCAAGGAACUUCAGGAUAGCUACCACCUUUGCCAAGGAUUGAGCCACCUCAAUCAUAUAUCACCUGAUUUUGAAAUCUUUGAGCUUUUCUGCAUUCAGUUUGGCUGUUAAGAAAUCUGGAAGUUUUCGGCCCAACUGGUGAAAACUGUACAACAAACAUUCCACAUAACUGAACUGUAGCUUGGGUUCUUCAUUACCAGCAUUCUCUCC